GACGAACGCUGGCGGCGUGCUUAACACAUGCAAGUCGAGCGGUAAGGCCCUUUCGGGGGUACACGAGCGGCGAACGGGUGAGUAACACGUGGGUGACCUGCCCUCAGCUCUGGGAUAAGCCUGGGAAACCGGGUCUAAUACCGGAUAUGACUCCAUGACGCAUGUUGUGGGGUGGAAAGCCUUGUGCGGCUGAGGAUGGGCCCGCGGCCUAUCAGCUUGUUGGGUGGGGUGAUGGCCUACCAAGGCGACGACGGGUAGCCGGCCUGAGAGGGCGACCGGCCGACACUGGGACUGAGACACGGCCCAGACUCCUACGGGAGGGCAGCAGUGGGGAAUCUUGCGCAGUGGGCGAAAGCCUGACGCAGCGACGCCGCGUGAGGGACGACGGCCU
This 391-nucleotide ribosomal RNA is filed under the name uncultured bacterium. RNAcentral describes it as "bacterial SSU rRNA". It matches the Rfam family "Bacterial small subunit ribosomal RNA", at positions 28 to 417 of the family's 1533-position model. The record is from RNAcentral.